RNAcentral lists this ribosomal RNA (914 nucleotides) under uncultured marine archaeon. Its description in RNAcentral is "bacterial SSU rRNA". It matches the Rfam family "Archaeal small subunit ribosomal RNA", at positions 1 to 921 of the family's 1478-position model. The record is from RNAcentral.
UUCCGGUUGAUCCUGCCGGAGGCUACCGCUAUUGGAGUUCGAUUAAGCCAUGCGAGUCGCGAGUCUUAGGGACUCGGCGUACCGCUCAGUAACACGUGGGUAACCUGCCCUAUGCUGGGGGAUAACCUCGGGAAACUGAGAAUAAUACCCCAUAGUUCACCACGCCUGGAACGGUGGGUGGAUCAAAGCUCCGGCGGCAUAGGAUGGGCCUGCGGCGUAUCAGGUUGUAGGGGGUGUAAUGUACCCUCUAGCCCUCUACGCGUACGGGUGUUGAGAGACAUCGCCCGGAGAUGGAUUCUGAGACACGAAUCCAGACCCUACGGGGUGCAGCAGGCGCGAAAACUUGGCAAUGCGAGAAAUCGUGACCAGGGAACUCCAAGUGCAUCGGGUAAGACCGAUGCUUUUCUUGACUCUUCAAAGGUCUUGGAAUAAGGGGUGGGUAAGGACGGUGCCAGCCGCCGCGGUAAUACCGGCGCCCCAAGUGGUAGUCGCUUUUAUUGGGCCUAAAACGUCCGUAGCCGGUCUGGUACAUUCGUGGGUAAAUCAACCAGCUCAACUGGUUGAAUUCUGCGAGCACGGCCAGACUUGGGACCGGGAGAGGUGUGGGGUACUCUCAGGGUAGGGGUAAAAUCCUGUCAUCCUGAGGGGACCACCUGUUGCGAAGGCGCCACACUAGAACGGAUCCGACGGUCAGGGACGAAGCCUAGGGGCACGAACCGGAUUAGAUACCCGGGUAGUCCUAGGUGUAAACGCUGUGGACUUGAUGUUGGGGGCGCUCCGAGCGCACUCAGUGUCGAAGCGAAGGUGAUAAGUCCACUGCCUGGGGAGUACGGUCGCAAGGCUGAAACUUAAAGGAAUUGGCGGGGGAGCACCGCAACCUGAGGAUUGUGCGGUUUAAUUGGAGUCAACGCCGG